RNAcentral lists this ribosomal RNA (497 nucleotides) under uncultured bacterium. RNAcentral's name for it is "partial 16S ribosomal RNA". It matches the Rfam family "Bacterial small subunit ribosomal RNA", at positions 28 to 507 of the family's 1533-position model. The record is from RNAcentral.
GACGAACGCUGGCGGCGUGCCUAAUACAUGCAAGUAGAACGCUGAAGAGAGGAGCUUGCUCUUCUUGGAUGAGUUGCGCACGGGUGAGUAACGCGUAGGUAACCUGCCUUGUAGCGGGGGAUAACUAUUGGAAACGAUAGCUAAUACCGCAUAACAAUGGAUGACACAUGUCAUUUAUUUGAAAGGGGCAAUUGUUCCACUACAAGAUGGACCUGCGUUGUAUUAGUUAGUAGGUGAGGUAAUGGCUCACCUAGGCGACGCUACGUAGCCGACCUGAGAGGGUGAGUGGCCACACUGAGAGUGAGACACGGCCCAGACUCCUAGAGGAGGCAGCAGUAGGGAUACGUCGGCAAUGGGGGCAACCCAGACCGAGCAACGCGGCGUGAGUGAAGAAGGAUGUCGGAUCGUAAAGCUCGGUUGUAAGUCAAGAACGGGUGUGAGAGUGGAAAGUUCACAGUGUGACGGUAGCUGACCAGAAAGGGACGGCUAACUACGUG